AUUGAACGCUGGCGGAAUGCUUUACACAUGCAAGUCGAACGGCAGCACGGGUGCUUGCACCUGGUGGCGAGUGGCGGACGGGUGAGUAAUACAUCGGAACGUACCCAGUUGUUGGGGGAUAACUAACCGAAAGGUUAGCUAAUACCGCAUACGCCCUGAGGGGGAAAGCGGGGGACCGUAAGGCCUCGCGCAAUUGGAGC
This 200-nucleotide ribosomal RNA is filed under the name uncultured bacterium. Its description in RNAcentral is "partial 16S ribosomal RNA". It matches the Rfam family "Bacterial small subunit ribosomal RNA", at positions 30 to 227 of the family's 1533-position model. The record is from RNAcentral.